UGGAUGCAGUCAUGUGAUCUCAACCGUUGUGUGUCGCGCGUGUCCACGUGAUUACCAAUCUCUGAAAUCUCGGGUUAGUAAUUUAUACAUUUGUGGACGAUUUUGGAAAUGUUGGCUUUGACUCAAUGAUACCAGGCAUUUCUGUGGUUACUUAGACACAGCAGUGAUGCUGCGCGUUUGUUUGUUUGGUCACUUGAUCACCACCAUUGAGACAUUGCCGACUGUUUUGGUGAUUUUCAUGUUUAACAAAAUGUCAACUAUACUAGUUGAGGUGAUCGACAUUGGGGUGACCUAACCUUGGGGUGCCCGACAUUGAUCCUAUUUCUUUGGAAGUGGUUUCGGAGAGCUUGGAGCGAACUUGUUGGGGGGCCUCACUUUGAAUGUCUGUAGAUUGUUCCGCCGUUUCUCUGCAUACUGUUCGGGUUAUUCCAACCAGUCCUUUCCACUCUACAGCUUUGGUAGGCUUGUUGAUGAUUUGCUGGACGAUGAUACGGGCAAUAACACCAGCGUCCUUGGACUAGAGAAACAGGAACUUGGCUGUUUGAUUUUUACCGUUUACACCAUUCCAAUGACAUCGAUUUCAGUAGGACAAGUCCAAUAUCAGUCACUCUAGAUCGUGGGUUAAUGCUCCUUCAUAUCCGGUAUUCACAGCCCCAAAUAUUCGCCCAUUCAAGCUGAAACUAGACGAAACUAGACUCAUAUGAAAGCCUGGAUCGCAACGAGUACAAUGAUACAUAUCCUGUCUCUACAGAGUCAGCACAGGCCAAGUUAGUCUGGGGUCAUUGACUCACUCAGACCUCAACUCCGCGGGUUACGGUCCUAUCGACAGGAUCUCAUUGGACUCCUUUCCGUUGGUGUCACGCAUCAAUUUAUCAUCAAAUAACGUGUCUAUCUCUCUCAUUGCAUUCAGAUGUCUUACUGACCAUCUAAUUAGUUGGGAAUAAAGGGAGUUAUCCAACUAAUUAGUUGAGAAUAAAGGACGGGUUACUGGAAUCACAAACAAUGUAAACCCCAGUUUUGAUUGUAUCUCGUACGCUCACGUGACCCCGUAAAUGAGCUACGGCUCGCUAUUCUGCCCGCAGCAUUUGAGUUGUUAACAGAGUCCAAAAUAGUUCCCUUAUGGCUUGAUUCGACAAAGCUACGGUACAGUACAGGUAUU
RNAcentral lists this unclassified non-coding RNA (1159 nucleotides) under Yarrowia lipolytica. Lineage: Eukaryota; Fungi; Ascomycota; Dipodascomycetes; Dipodascales. The record is from RNAcentral.